UAGAGUUUGAUCAUGGCUCAGAUUGAACGCUGGCGGCAGGCCUAACACAUGCAAGUCGAGCGGCAGCGGGGGGAAGCUUGCUUCCCUGCCGGCGAGCGGCGGACGGGUGAGUAAUGUCUGGGGAUCUGCCUGAUGGAGGGGGAUAACUACUGGAAACGGUAGCUAAUACCGCAUAACGUCGCAAGACCAAAGUGGGGGACCUUCGGGCCUCACGCCAUCGGAUGAACCCAGAUGGGAUUAGCUAGUAGGUGGGGUAACGGCUCACCUAGGCGACGAUCCCUAGCUGGUCUGAGAGGAUGACCAGCCACACUGGAACUGAGACACGGUCCAGACUCCUACGGGAGGCAGCAGUGGGGAAUAUUGCACAAUGGGGGAAACCCUGAUGCAGCCAUGCCGCGUGUGUGAAGAAGGCCUUCGGGUUGUAAAGCACUUUCAGCGGGGAGGAAGGCGGUAAGGUUAAUAACCUUACCGAUUGACGUUACCCGCAGAAGAAGCACCGGCUAACUCCGUGCCAGCAGCCGCGGUAAUACGGAGGGUGCAAGCGUUAAUCGGAAUGACUGGGCGUAAAGCGCACGCAGGCGGUCUGUUAAGUUGGAUGUGAAAUCCUCGGGCUUAACCUGGGAACUGCAUUCAAAACUGACAGGCUAGAGUCUCGUAGAGGGGGGUAGAAUUCCAGGUGUAGCGGUGAAAUGCGUAGAGAUCUGGAGGAAUACCGGUGGCGAAGGCGGCCCCCUGGACGAAGACUGACGCUCAGGUGCGAAAGCGUGGGGAGCAAACAGGAUUAGAUACCCUGGUAGUCCACGCUGUAAACGAUGUCGAUUUGGAGGUUGUGCCCUUGAGGCGUGGCUUCCGGAGCUAACGCGUUAAAUCGACCGCCUGGGGAGUACGGCCGCAAGGUUAAAACUCAAAUGAAUUGACGGGGGCCCGCACAAGCGGUGGAGCAUGUGGUUUAAUUCGAUGCAACGCGAAGAACCUUACCUACUCUUGACAUCCAGCGAAGACUGCAGAGAUGCGGUCGUGCCUUCGGGAACGCUGAGACAGGUGCUGCAUGGCUGUCGUCAGCUCGUGUUGUGAAAUGUUGGGUUAAGUCCCGCAACGAGCGCAACCCUUAUCCUCUGUUGCCAGCACUACGGGUGGGAACUCAGGGGAGACUGCCGGUGAUAAACCGGAGGAAGGUGGGGAUGACGUCAAGUCAUCAUGGCCCUUACGAGUAGGGCUACACACGUGCUACAAUGGCGUAUACAAAGAGAAGCGACCUCGCGAGAGCAAGCGGACCUCAUAAAGUACGUCGUAGUCCGGAUUGGAGUCUGCAACUCGACUCCAUGAAGUCGGAAUCGCUAGUAAUCGUAGAUCAGAAUGCUACGGUGAAUACGUUCCCGGGCCUUGUACACACCGCCCGUCACACCAUGGGAGUGGGUUGCAAAAGAAGUAGGUAGCUUAACCUUCGGGAGGGCGCUUACCACUUUGUGAUUCAUGACUGGGGUGAAGUCGUAACAAGGUAACCGUAAUCACUAGUGAAUUCGCGGCCGCCUGCAGGUCGACCAUAUGGGAGAGCUCCCAACGCGUUGGAUGCAUAGCUUGAGUAUUCUAUAGUGUCACCUAAA
RNAcentral lists this ribosomal RNA (1604 nucleotides) under Dickeya chrysanthemi. RNAcentral's name for it is "bacterial SSU rRNA". It matches the Rfam family "Bacterial small subunit ribosomal RNA". The record is from RNAcentral. Lineage: Bacteria; Pseudomonadati; Pseudomonadota; Gammaproteobacteria; Enterobacterales; Pectobacteriaceae.